RNA transcript from Poecile atricapillus (Black-capped chickadee), 2353 nucleotides. It is a transcript of the gene named keratinocyte associated protein 3, with no coding region annotated. The record is from RefSeq and is a predicted model, not a curated record. NCBI's taxonomy places the organism in Eukaryota, Metazoa, Chordata, Aves, Passeriformes, Paridae. The transcript is spliced from 3 exons.
GGGCGGGGCGGAGGGGCCGGGCCGAGGCCGCUCGUCCCUUGCCCGGGGCGGCGCUCGGCGGUGGCGGCCAUGGCCGGGGGGCGGCGGGGCCCGGGAGCGCUGGCGGAGCCGCGGCGGCUGAUGCGCUCGGGGCUGGGGCUGAUCGUGCUGGGCCACGGCAGCCUCGUGCUGGGCGCCAUCGUGCACGGCUCGGUCCUGCGGCACGUGGCCGGCGCCCGCCGCGUCGUCACCCCCGAGUACGCGGCGGCCAACGUGGUGUCGGUGUGCUCGGGGCUGCUGAGCAUCGCCGCGGGCAUCGUCGCCAUCCUGGUGUCGCACAACCUGUCCCGGGCGGCUCUGGUGAGUGCGGGGCUCCGGGCGGGCGGGGGGAGCUCGGCGCGGCCCUGCCCCGCCCGCAGCCGCUCCCCCGGACCUUGGCCCCGCGGGUUCCUUCCGCCUCGGCGGCGGCUGCCGGUGUCGCCCGUGUCCGGCCCGGCCCCGCCGGCCGCUCCGGGAGGGCGGCAGCGCCGUCCUCGGGCAGAAGCUGCCGCCGGCUCGGGGGUCCCGGGGCUCGCAGGGUGGGCGGACACGGGGUGGGGUGCGCCGGGCCGGGCCGGGCUGGGCUGGGCUGGGCUGGGGGCUCCCGGCACGCCGCCGAGCCCGUGUGGGGUCUCCACGGAGCCCGAGGAAGGGGUCCGGCUGUGCGGAGUUCACGGGCGGGUGAAGGAUGCGAAAAGUGCGAGACCCUCAUCCGAGGGCAGGGCCGAGCCGUCCUGGAAGGGGCAGGAGAUGGUGUGUGCUCCCUCGGGGGAGCGUUUCUCCAUCGGUGCCCGGCCCGAGCGUUUCCCCGAGCUCCUGCCAGUCCCACCCGCAUUCUUGCCGCCUGCAGCACUGGACCCUGCUGAGCAUUUCUGUGCUGAACUGCCUCCUGUCCACGGCGUGCAGCGCGGGGCUGGCGCUGGCCAUCGCCCUCACGGUGCACAGCCGGGGCACGCACCUGGUCAGGGGCUGCAACAGCUCCGCGCUGCCUCUGGAUGCCCGGGCAGCCAUUGCGACCAACGAGUGUCCCUUCAACACCACGCGCAUCUACGUGAGUCCGCAGGGUCACUGCACACCCCCACUCCUCCCGUCAGCCCCUUCCUCUCUCUGCUUCCUCUCGUCUUUUCACUCUCACGCUCCCUCCUGCUUCCCUUCUCUCUCCCUCUCCCCGUUCUUUCCCCUGCUGUCCACACAGUCUCUGCUGAGUGUGUUCAGCCAGCCUGGUGCAGUGCCCGCGUUCCUCUGACCUCUGCUCCGCAGGACACAGCCCUGGCACUCUGGUUUCCCUCCUUGCUGCUGGCAGCUGCAGAAGCCGUGCUCUCAGGCAGGUGCUGUUUAGUGGCUCUCGUCUUCCAGGGCAUCGGGCCCUGUGCACACAGCUAUGGCAAAGAGCAGGUACGCCCCACUGAGCUGGACGGAUCUCCCUGUGUCGAUUGCUGCCUUUGUGCUGCAUUUGGAAGGUGCUGGGUUCUGCUGGGAAGAAGGAGGCUGUGCAGUAGUUGGGGAGGAUGCUGAGUUGGAACCUCUUCUAGCCAGCCUAAGGGCCAGACCAGCAUCUCUUCAUGGGGAGUUGCAGAGGGACCCUCUUCUUCAUCCCCCUGCUGGCCAGGCCAAGUACAGCAGUGGAGAAGCCACUCCGUGAGAGGCAGCAGCUCCUGGCAGGACUUGCUGAGUCUCCUGUGUAGCUGGAGAGGUGAGUGCACCCUGUGGGCUGUGUUUGGCACAGGGGGAGCAGGCUCUGCCAUCAAAAAGACCCAUAGCCACACCAGCCCCCUGAAACAGCUCUUCCUAAGAACAUGGGCAGAGGAGUCAGUGUGAUGCUGGGCCCUGCAGCACAGCCUGGCAGUGGCACAUGCUCCUUCGCUCCCAGGUGGUGCUGCAGGAGUGCUGUGAUCCAGCAAGGUCGGGAAAAAGGCGAUGUCGCACCUUCUGCAGUGUUGGUGUGCAUAAAGUGGGCUGCAGGGGUGAGGGCUGUGCCUUCCUCCCUCCCCCCAGCUCCACCACCCCACCUGGGACAGACCCUGCAGGUCAGCAGGUGCCGUGGGCCCCAGAUGCUCUCCCAUCCUCUCCCCAGGCUGCCAGGCCCUUCCUGGUGUGCUGAAGGCUCCGUUGGUUCCUGGCAGCAGUGAUGGGGUGGGCAGAGGUGCUGGGACCCCAGUCCUGGUGCCAUUGCAGGCAUGGCAGCUGGCUGUGCCUGUGACAGCUCAGACAUCUCAGGGAACAGAAGGGGAAGAAUCCCCAUCGUGUGGAUCUCUAAUUUUCUUCAAUAAAUAAACUUUUCUUUUCCACACUGGCUGUUCUGAGUGGCUCUGCCAGGUGAGUUCUGGUUGGGAGC